UGGAGUUUUACGCCAGUGGUUUGCCAGGAGCUCUCGGACCUUUGGCCACAGACCGAAGGCUGCACUGUCACCUUCCCUGCUUUUGAGGUUUUGGGACUUGGACUGCCUUCCUGGCUCCUC
Nomascus leucogenys (northern white-cheeked gibbon) is the source of this 120-nucleotide long non-coding RNA. RefSeq lists it as uncharacterized. The transcript is spliced from 3 exons. Lineage: Eukaryota; Metazoa; Chordata; Mammalia; Primates; Hylobatidae. The record is from RefSeq and is a predicted model, not a curated record.